This 433-nucleotide ribosomal RNA is filed under the name uncultured bacterium. Its description in RNAcentral is "partial 16S ribosomal RNA". It matches the Rfam family "Bacterial small subunit ribosomal RNA", at positions 29 to 507 of the family's 1533-position model. The record is from RNAcentral.
AACGAACGCUGGCGGCAGGCCUAACACAUGCAAGUCGAACGCCCCCUUCGUGAUGACCUGCGGACGCGUGAGUCACGCGUGGGAACGUUCCCUUUUCUACGGAAUUGCCCCGUUAAACUGAGAGUAAUACCGUAUACGCCCCUUUGGGGAAAGAUUUAUCGGACUAGGAUCGGCCCGCGUGGUAUUAGGUAGUUGGUGUGGUAAUGGCCUACCACGCCUACGAUACAUAGCUGGUUUGAGAGAAUGAGCAGCCACACUGGGACUGAGACACGGUCGGGAAUACUACGCGAGGCAGGAGUGGGGAAUCCUGGAAAAUGGGGGCAACGCAGAAGGAGCCAGGCUGGGUGAGUGAUGAAGGUCGUAGAGUAGAAAAGCUGUUUAAGAUGGGAAGAUAAUGACGGUACCAAAAGAAGAAGCCCCGGCUAACUCCGUG